UUGCUAAGGCUGAUGGCGACCGGCGCACGGGUGAGUAACACGUAUCCAACCUGCCGUCUACUCUUGGCCAGCCUUCUGAAAGGAAGAUUAAUCCAGGAUGGCAUCAUGAGUUCACAUGUCCGCAUGAUUAAAGGUAUUUUCCGGUAGACGAUGGGGAUGCGUUCCAUUAGAUAGUAGGCGGGGUAACGGCCCACCUAGUCAACGAUGGAUAGGGGUUCUGAGAGGAAGGUCCCCCACAUUGGAACUGAGACACGGUCCAAACUCCUACGGGAGGCAGCAGUGAGGAAUAUUGGUCAAUGGGCGAUGGCCUGAACCAGCCAAGUAGCGUGAAGGAUGACUGCCCUAUGGGUUGUAAACUUCUUUUAUAAAGGAAUAAAGUCGGGUAUGCACACCCGUUUGCAUGUACUUUAUGAAUAAGGAUCGGCUAACUCCGUGCCAGCAGCCGCGGUAAUACGGAGGAUCCGAGCGUUAUCCGGAUUUAUUGGGUUUAAAGGGAGCGUAGAUGGAUGUUUAAGUCAGUUGUGAAAGUUUGCGGCUCAACCGUAAAAUUGCAGUUGAUACUGGAUGUCUUGAGUGCAGUUGAGGCAGGCGGAAUUCGUGGUGUAGCGGUGAAAUGCUUAGAUAUCACGAAGAACUCCGAUUGCGAA
RNAcentral lists this ribosomal RNA (647 nucleotides) under uncultured Bacteroidales bacterium. RNAcentral describes it as "bacterial SSU rRNA". It matches the Rfam family "Bacterial small subunit ribosomal RNA", at positions 75 to 719 of the family's 1533-position model. Lineage: Bacteria; Pseudomonadati; Bacteroidota; Bacteroidia; Bacteroidales. The record is from RNAcentral.